AGAGUUUGAUCCUGGCUCAGGACGAACGCUGGCGGCGUGCCUAACACAUGCAAGUCGAGCGAAUGAAGUUCCUUCGGGAACGGAUUUAGCGGCGGACGGGUGAGUAACACGUGGGCAACCUGCCUCAUAGAGGGGAAUAGCCUUCCGAAAGGGAGAUUAAUACCGCAUAAGAUUGUAGUACCGCAUGGUACAGCAAUUAAAGGAGUAAUCCGCUAUGAGAUGGGCCCGCGGCGCAUUAGCUAGUUGGUGAGGUAACGGCUCACCAAGGCGACGAUGCGUAGCCGACCUGAGAGGGUGAUCGGCCGCAUUGGGACUGAGACACGGCCCAGACUCCUACGGGAGGCAGCAGUGGGGAAUAUUGCACAAUGGGGGAAACCCUGAUGCAGCAACGCCGCGUGAGUGAUGACGGCCUUCGGGUUGUAAAGCUCUGUCUUCAGGGACGAUAAUGACGGUACCUGAGGAGGAAGCCACGGCUAACUACGUGCCAGCAGCCGCGGUAAUA
RNAcentral lists this ribosomal RNA (502 nucleotides) under uncultured bacterium. RNAcentral describes it as "bacterial SSU rRNA". It matches the Rfam family "Bacterial small subunit ribosomal RNA", at positions 8 to 525 of the family's 1533-position model. The record is from RNAcentral.